AAUGAACGUUGGCGGCGUGGAUUAGGCAUGCAAGUCGUGCGGAAAGGCUCCUUCGGGAGUACUCGAGCGGCGAAAGGGAGAGUAACGCGUGGAUAUCUACCCCCUGGCCUGGGAUAGCGGCGGGAAACUGCCGGUAAUACCAGAUAAUAUCUGCGGAUCACAGGUGUGAUUCCGCCGGGGGAUGAGUCCGCGUCCUAUUAGCUAGUUGGUUAGGUAAAGGCCCACCAAGGCUGAGAUGGGUACCGGGUGUGAGAGCAUGGCCCGGCUCACUGGGACUGAGACGCUGCCCAGACACCGACGGGUGGCUGCAGUCGCGAAUCUUCGGCAAUGGGCGCAAGCCUGACCGAGCGACGCCGCGUGCGGGAUGAAGGCCUUCGGGUUGUAAACCGCUGUCAGAGGGGAGGAAAUGCAUGGGGGUUCUCCCUCAUGUUUGACCUAUCCUCAGAGGAAGUACGGGCUAAGUUCGUGCCAGCAGCCGCGGUAA
RNAcentral lists this ribosomal RNA (484 nucleotides) under uncultured bacterium. Its description in RNAcentral is "partial 16S ribosomal RNA". It matches the Rfam family "Bacterial small subunit ribosomal RNA", at positions 28 to 523 of the family's 1533-position model. The record is from RNAcentral.